Molecule: long non-coding RNA, 2759 nt
Organism: Lolium rigidum
Lineage: Eukaryota; Viridiplantae; Streptophyta; Magnoliopsida; Poales; Poaceae
Exons: 3
Source: RefSeq, a predicted model, not a curated record
UCUUUUCCCUCCCUUCCCUGACUCCCUCAUCUCUCCAAUCUUCUAUUUAUUUUUUGCAAUUCAAUCGACACAGUCUGUAGCAUGUGUAGUCUGCACCGGAACAAUUUUCUUGAGUCAACACCAAUUUCGUCAACUCCGACGGCAUGGCAUAACACAGUGCCGGGGCUGUAUUAUAUGAUGUCAACUGACAUCACAAAAUAAUAAUUAGUACCAUGAUACUAGCCAUUAACACACUACUUUUGACCCCAUAAGAACUACAUAAUGACCUCAAUAGCUCAUUUUGGGGCUCUUUGACAUCACCUGCUGGCAAUCCUAGCCGCGCCACUGGCAUAACAGACAUCUUAUGUUUCCAACUGUUCAUACACAUUGUCCUGAUAGUUUGAUUCAGUCACACUGCUAUGCAAAUUGUACGUUUUCACUCGCUCUUUGAGUUCCACCCAUGAUGCUACGAUUAUAUUCUUGAAAUUUGUCAAUCUCUUAUCGCAUAUUUUUGUUUGAUGAUCUAACUAGCAUAUUUGUAUGAAGAAUUGGGGAUCUCUCAAUUGGAGUUUCUCAAUGAGAAAGGAGCACAGGAUGGCAUGUGGAGAGUACUCCUGGACACACUUGCAUAAGAGACUGGGCAGGUUUGUAUGCAAUGUCAUUUAGCGAUAAAUGCAACUUUUGCUUUUUUCGAUCCAUCUGCAGUUGCAUGAUCCUAGAAUCAGCGAAUGACUUACCUUUAGCAAUUGUUUUCUUCCUUCCUACAGGAAGACAACGAAUGGUUGUCCACCUGGAUAUGUUGAUUGUUAUUGUUUUAUUCUAGAAUGAUAUAUUGUGGUUUGGAAGUGCAUCCAUUUCAAAAGUUAAGAUGCACACAACACUUCUCAGAUACAGGAAUCUGGUGUUGAAUUAAGAGACUGGUUUAGAAAUACUAGAAGAAUUCUAGACUGAUCUCUUAGCUUAUACUUUUCACUAAAGUAGUGUCAGAAAGUGUGCCUAUCUUACUUCCCUGUCAUUUUCCCUCUUGAUCAUGCUAUUCUUGAGAAUAUAAAUUAUGAUCAACUGGCCGGGAUUUUCUUCCUAGCCCCAUUGAGAUGCAUGUUCAUUGAUGUUCUAUUUAAUUGUGCAUGGGAUGUUCCGAGCGCAUCAAUGUUAUGGAAUUCUGGACUCCAAGAGCUGCUUGGAUGGAAGAGCGUUCCCAUUUCAGAUUUAUGAAAAUUUAGGAUUGCAGCGGGGCCAAAUAGCCCUAAGUUUACAUACUAUGGUGUUCUUGAUAAAAUGGACAACGUAGCUUAUGUCUCUCUCCUGGAUCAUGGAUUUUUUCAAGCAAGGCUAGCUUAUGUCUCUCUCCUGGAUCAUGUAAUCACUACAUGCAGUGGUAAAGUUUCUAGAAAGUGUGUUUGAAUAUCUUUUUGGCUACUACAACAGUCAGAUGUAUAUUGGUGUUGUUCAUGAAUAGUAGGCCCUUCCUUCAUUUUUUUUUAUCAUAAAAGAGAAAGUAGCUUUAUCUAAACGUUUCCCUCUAGCAGCUCAAGAAGUUUUAUUGCAGGUAUCAAAAGAGGUUGAUGCAUUUUAAAUAGAUUGGCACUAGAACAUUAUUUGGUAAUAGAUUGAUCCUAGAGGAGAUGUAGUACGAUAAAAAGAUGAUCUCAGGAAUAUGGCUUCUCUCCAUCACAAGUUAAAUGCUGAUCAACGUGCGUAAUUUUGAGGAACCACUAAAAUUGGUAACUCUUUCACUGCAACACUUGCAAUUAUGUUUCUCUUUAAGAGGUCUAGAGUGGUUGUAAUUAUACUAAAAUUGGUAACCCGAGCAUACGUAUCAGCUACGGAAAGGUUAGUGUGCUAAAAAAAUACAGAGCUAGAGGCCUAGAUUAUAGUGGAGGAUUACAUUGGACUCAUUUCUAAAGGAUAACUUGCAAAUGACGCUGUUGAAUGAUGAAGCACUUUCAAUCAAGAUAACCCUUCAUGUCCUUAUAUGAAAUGUUGUCUUUCUUCUGAAUAGUGGAUUCACUGUGGAGAGCUUGAGCUCAUUCAGUAGACAACUGCGUAUAGGUCCGUUGGGUGUGUGGUUUCUCAGAUUGUUAACCUUAAGAUGUAUGGCUUGCCCUGCAACCUAAAUACGGUGGUAAAAACACAUACUACGGCAACAACCAACAGUUCAUCAAACGUAUGCAAUACGGUUACUGCUUACAGGUGCACGUCAUGGUGUGCUACUGCUGAAGCUAUACCAAAGAGGCUACAACUUAUGGUCCUGCCACCGCACCUAGCUGACUUAACACAGAUAGACCAACUGACAAUUUUAAGUGUCGUGUACUCCAUAUCUGUUCCUAUAUGUUGAUGCAUCAUGGGUGAAUCUCUUCCUGUUUAGGAGCUAUUAUGGUUUGAGGUUGUAUUCACUCGCAUAACUAACAAAAGGUAGCCCCUGUUGAUGGUUUCUCGGUUCAAAAGCUAUGUGCAGAAGGUCAAGAGCUGAAGUCGCUUCAUGCACCCAGUUUAACUAGAAGGGCCAUACGGCCACUGCUGAGUUUCCUAUAUGUUUUUAGGCACUAGCAAAGGCAUGGCGCUGCUUAAUUUUCUGUACCUUUCCAGGUGAUGACCUGAUAACUACCUCUUCCAACUAUUUAUUCCGCAUUAUGUGUUAUCAUGCGUAUCUAUACUACAUAAAUAUAUAAUUUUUUAUCUUUUCAGUUCAUGUUUUUAUGCUGAUUAUGAUUGUUGUUGAGACUUUAGUGCAUGUAGAGCAGCACACUGAUACUAGGGUUCAGCUCAAUAAACCCGCA